AUAUUUAGUCAAACCUUGUUUCACAUUACUGUAGAGUGUAGACUGGUGUUAAUGUUAAUAUCAUCUAAUCUACGACUAAAAUUAUUUUUGGAUGUAGAGUGAUUUCAUAGCAGCUCGGCAUUUGUAUUGUACAACAUAGUGGGCUCUAUAUAGAUGUCCGGUAAUUCUUAAUAGACAAUUGCAUGUUCUACUGAUGCAAACCUUUUCUUUUCAUGCCUCUAUGAAAUUAUGUCGGUUGUUUU
RNAcentral lists this long non-coding RNA (242 nucleotides) under Panax ginseng (ginseng). Its description in RNAcentral is "long non-coding RNA (PGIN_LNC011597)". Lineage: Eukaryota; Viridiplantae; Streptophyta; Magnoliopsida; Apiales; Araliaceae. The record is from RNAcentral.